AGCUGGUCUUCUGACAUGAUUCCAGGGUCUCUCUAGUAUCACUGAAGUUUGAUUAAAUGUAUUCAAACAAACAUUAAUUUGACAGUUUUUUGUCUAAGAGUUUAAAAUAGUGUUGACAUGUUUUGCUAAAGGAAAAGCAUGGCCUCACAACUUUAGAGUUAAUUGUUUCGUUGAGGAUGCUAACUCUUAAAGAGGUGAAGAUAAAGCCCCAGGUGGAGGACAAGGAGAAAGGCGAGAGGGACGGAUGAAAGAGGACUAAGUGGAGAGCAUUAAACAGUGUCAGAUGGAACAUAUGGGGUGUGACGAGGCCCAAAACUCCCAAAGCCUGAGCCCGGCUCUACACAGAAAGUCCCUCUGAAGCAAAUAAAGGAGAUGUGUCGUGAAACCCUGGUGAAUUUCAAGUCUCCCUCAACACGCCGAGGUCAUGACUCACCAGAUGAUUACACGCUGUGCAAACCCCCCCCCCCGUAAAGCACAUGGAAGCAGGCCCAAUCAGGUCUCCUGUGAAGGAUGGAGGAUGGAGAGCGCCUCAGAGGAAGUGUGGAGGGGUGCGGAGGUCACUACAGGUUUGUGAAGAGGGGAGGUGACAAACGAAUUCCAUGUUUACCUAAGUAGCUAAUCAGAGCCACAGUCAGGCAAUCAGAGAGGGACAGGAGGCAACGUCCCAGCAAUGCUCAAAUACCAUCAUUGUUAUGUAGCCUGCUGGGUAUGAAAUGGAUUUGAAGUGAAGCACAUCUGUGUUUCAUGAGGAUGUAAAGUGUUUGCACCAGACUGCUGUGUGAAUUAUUUAUUUUCCUGAAUCGUUGUGGGAAUAUUCUUGGUCCCACAUUUUCUGUCUUUGUUUUGUUCCUCUAUCUUUUAUGCUGGACGAAUUUAAAGACUGAAUUAGAACUUUUUCUCAGAUUCAACA
Long non-coding RNA from Notolabrus celidotus (New Zealand spotty), 910 nucleotides. RefSeq lists it as uncharacterized. NCBI's taxonomy places the organism in Eukaryota, Metazoa, Chordata, Actinopteri, Labriformes, Labridae. The record is from RefSeq and is a predicted model, not a curated record. The transcript is spliced from 3 exons.